RNAcentral lists this ribosomal RNA (646 nucleotides) under uncultured bacterium. RNAcentral describes it as "bacterial SSU rRNA". It matches the Rfam family "Bacterial small subunit ribosomal RNA", at positions 64 to 722 of the family's 1533-position model. The record is from RNAcentral.
GAACGGUGAUGAGGAGCUUGCUUCUCUGAUCAGUGGCGAACGGGUGAGUAACACGUGAGCAAUCUGCCCUUGACUCUGGGAUAAGCGUUGGAAACGACGUCUAAUACCGGAUACGACCUUGGAAGGCAUCUUCUGGGGUGGAAAGAAUUUUGGUCAAGGAUGAGCUCGCGGCCUAUCAGCUAGUUGGUGAGGUAAUGGCUCACCAAGGCGACGACGGGUAGCCGGCCUGAGAGGGUGACCGGCCACACUGGGACUGAGACACGGCCCAAACUCCUACGGGAGGCAGCAGUGGGGAAUAUUGCACAAUGGGCGAAAGCCUGAUGCAGCAACGCCGCGUGAGGGACGACGGCCUUCGGGUUGUAAACCUCUUUUAGUAGGGAAGAAGCGUAAAAGUGACGGUACCUGCAAAAAAAGCACCGGCUAACUACGUGCCAGCAGCCGCGGUAAUACGUAGGGUGCAAGCGUUGUCCGGAAUUAUUGGGCGUAAAGAGCUCGUAGGCGGUUUGUCGCGUCUGCUGUGAAAACCCGAGGCUCAACCUCGGGCCUGCAGUGGGUACGGGCAGACUAGAGUGCGGUAGGGGAGAUUGGAAUUCCUGGUGUAGCGGUGGAAUGCGCAGAUAUCAGGAGGAACACCAAUGGCGAAGGC